AGGAUGAACGCUGGCGGCGUGCCUAAUACAUGCAAGUCGAACGGGGUGUUUGAGCAAUCGGACACUUAGUGGCGAACGGGUGAGUAACGCGUUGGUGACCUGCCCCAAAGCGGGGGAGUAACAGCCUGAAAGGGUUGCUAAUACCGCAUAUGAUGAUGAGAGACUAGAAACUUAUCAUUAAAGGAGAAAUCCACUUUGGGAGGGGCCUGCGUCCCAUCAGCUAGUUGGUAGGGUAAAAGCCUACCAAGGCGAAGACGGGUAGGGGACCUGAGAGGGUGACCCCCCACAAUGGAACUGAAACACGGUCCAUACACCUACGGGUGGCAGCAGUAGGGGAUAUUGCACAAUGGGCGGAAGCCUGAUGCAGCAACGCCGCGUGAGUGAUGAAGGCCCUCGGGUCGUAAAACUCUUUUCAAGAGGAAGAGGAAGGACGGUACUCUUGGAAUAAGCCUCGGCUAACUACGUG
This 466-nucleotide ribosomal RNA is filed under the name uncultured bacterium. Its description in RNAcentral is "bacterial SSU rRNA". It matches the Rfam family "Bacterial small subunit ribosomal RNA", at positions 26 to 507 of the family's 1533-position model. The record is from RNAcentral.